Small nuclear RNA from Bufo gargarizans (Asiatic toad), 150 nucleotides. RefSeq annotates it as U1 spliceosomal RNA. The transcript has a single exon. Lineage: Eukaryota; Metazoa; Chordata; Amphibia; Anura; Bufonidae. The record is from RefSeq and is a predicted model, not a curated record.
AUACUCACCUGACAAAAGAGAUACAUACCACAAUCAUUAAGGUGGAUCUACCCUAGUGGUGUUCAUCCAUUGCACUUUGGGCAUGUUGAUUUCUCCAACCUCAACUGCAUAACAUAUGGUAGUGGGAGACUGCAUUCACACUUUCCCCUG